UCCUAUGACCCAUUCCUCUAGUUGCUUGAUCAAUUGGUUACCAACCCGAUGGCCCAAGUAGUGCGGUACUUGGUGACCCCUUAAGGUAAUUCUGUAUGGAGAAAUCGGUGUUUGGGAGAGUAUCACCCCUUUUGGGCCGUUUAAAAAACUCGCCCAUACCUUUUUAUUGGGUAAUUAUGAGUGGAGCUAGUAGCCACCUGAGGCAAGUGGCUCAGUAACCAUUUGUUUCACGUUCACUUUAUCGGUUUCAGGCAAGAUAUAGUAGGAAGUGUAAAUAAUAAAUAAUAAACCCCCAAAUCUUUAAAUUUUAUUGGUCUAGUCAAUAGUUCUAAGAUUCUAUUCUUUCAAAAGGGCAGUUUAAUAUUAUAUGGCAUUCUAAUA
Molecule: long non-coding RNA, 381 nt
Filed under: Manihot esculenta (cassava)
Lineage: Eukaryota; Viridiplantae; Streptophyta; Magnoliopsida; Malpighiales; Euphorbiaceae
Description: long non-coding RNA (MESC_LNC012626)
Source: RNAcentral